CCCAAUGACGUCUCUAGAAGGCAUCUGAAAGAGAUUAAAGAUUUAUCGGUGAUGGAUGGGGAUGCGUCUGAUUAGCUUGUUGGCGGGGUAACGGCCCACCAAGGCAACGAUCAGUAGGGGUUCUGAGAGGAAGGUCCCCCACAUUGGAACUGAGACACGGUCCAAACUCCUACGGGAGGCAGCAGUGAGGAAUAUUGGUCAAUGGACGAGAGUCUGAACCAGCCAAGUAGCGUGCAGGAAGACGGCCCUAUGGGUUGUAAACUGCUUUUAUAAGGGAAUAAAGUGAGUCUCGUGAGACUUUUUGCAUGUACCUUAUGAAUAAGGACCGGCUAAUUCCGUGCCAGCAGCCGCGGUAAUACGGAAGGUCCGGGCGUUAUCCGGAUUUAUUGGGUUUAAAGGGAGCGUAGGCCGGAGAUUAAGCGUGUUGUGAAAUGUAGACGCUCAACGUCUGCACUGCAGCGCGAACUGGUUUCCUUGAGUACGCACAAAGUGGGCGGAAUUCGUGGUGUAGCGGUGAAAUGCUUAGAUAUCACGAAGAACUCCGAUUGCGAAGGCAGCUCACUGGAGCGCAACUGACGCUGAAGCUCGAAAGUGCGGGUAUCGAACAGGAUUAGAUACCCUGGUAGUCCGCACGGU
RNAcentral lists this ribosomal RNA (636 nucleotides) under uncultured bacterium. RNAcentral's name for it is "bacterial SSU rRNA". It matches the Rfam family "Bacterial small subunit ribosomal RNA", at positions 169 to 803 of the family's 1533-position model. The record is from RNAcentral.